This 372-nucleotide ribosomal RNA is filed under the name uncultured organism. RNAcentral's name for it is "bacterial SSU rRNA". It matches the Rfam family "Bacterial small subunit ribosomal RNA", at positions 526 to 896 of the family's 1533-position model. The record is from RNAcentral.
CGUAGGAGACGAGCGUUAUCCGGAUUUACUGGGCGUAAAGCGUGUGCAGGCGGUUCGGCAAGUUGGAUGUGAAAUCUCCCGGCUCAACUGGGAUGGGUCGUUCAAUACUACCGAACUUGAGGUCAUCAGAGGAAGGUGGAAUUCCGGGUGUAGUGGUGAAAUGCGUAGAUAUCCGGAGGAACACCAGUGGCGAAGGCGGCCUUCUGGGAUGAUCCUGACGCUCAGACACGAAAGCUAGGGGAGCGAACGGGAUUAGAGACCCCGGUAGUCCUAGCUGUAAACGAUGUAGACUUGGCGUCGGAGGGUUCAAAACCUUCGGUGUCGUAGCUAACGCGAUAAGUCUACCGCCUGGGGACUACGGCCGCAAGGUUA